RNAcentral lists this unclassified non-coding RNA (737 nucleotides) under Hevea brasiliensis (rubber tree). The record is from RNAcentral. Lineage: Eukaryota; Viridiplantae; Streptophyta; Magnoliopsida; Malpighiales; Euphorbiaceae.
GGAAAGCUUGCCAUUUUCACGAUUGGGGCAUGGGCUGGUGCUGCACAUGGUGGUGUCGUUGCAGGUCUAGCAGCAUGCGGAGUAAUGAUGAACAUCGUCUCAACCGCAUCUGAUCUAAUGCAGGAUUUCAAGACUGGAUACAUGACACUAUCUUCGCCACGGUCGAUGUUCGUGAGCCAAGUGGUAGGCACUGCUAUGGGAUGCAUCAUAUCUCCCUGUGUAUUUUGGCUGUUCUACAAGGCAUUUGCUGACCUUGGACAGCCUGAAAGUGCUUAUCCAGCGCCUUAUGCAACGGUCUAUCGUAACAUGGCUCUUCUGGCGGUCGAGGGCUUCUCUAGUCUCCCAAAGAACUGUCUCUCCCUAUGCUAUGGGUUCUUUGCAGCAGCCAUUGUGAUAAAUUUGAUAAGAGACUUAUCAGGGAAGAAGGUAAGUCAAUAUAUUCCAAUACCUAUGGCAAUGGCGAUUCCGUUCUAUAUAGGCCCAUAUUUCGCCAUUGACAUGUGCCUUGGAAGCUUGAUAUUGUUUGUGUGGGAAAAGAUCAACAAGGCUAAGGCCGAGGCUUUCGCACCUGCUGUCGCGUCCGGUCUAAUAUGUGGAGAUGGAAUAUGGACAUUGCCUAGCUCGAUUCUUGCUCUGGCUGGAGUUAAGCCUCCUAUUUGCAUGAAGUUUCUAUCAAGGACUACAAAUGUUAAGGUUGAUAACUUCUUAGCAUCAUGAAGCUUUAGUUGACAAUCCAC